GAUGAACGCUGGCGGCGUGCCUAAUACAUGCAAGUCGAGCGAACAGACGAGGAGCUUGCUCCUCUGACGUUAGCGGCGGACGGGUGAGUAACACGUGGAUAACCUACCUAUAAGACUGGGAUAACUUCGGGAAACCGGAGCUAAUACCGGAUAAUAUAUUGAACCGCAUGGUUCAAUAGUGAAAGACGGUUUUGCUGUCACUUAUAGAUGGAUCCGCGCCGCAUUAGCUAGUUGGUAAGGUAACGGCUUACCAAGGCAACGAUGCGUAGCCGACCUGAGAGGGUGAUCGGCCACACUGGAACUGAGACACGGUCCAGACUCCUACGGGAGGCAGCGGUAGGGAAUCUUCCGCAAUGGGCGAAAGCCUGACGGAGCAACGCCGCGUGAGUGAUGAAGGUCUUCGGAUCGUAAAACUCUGUUAUUAGGGAAGAACAAAUGUGUAAGUAACUAUGCACGUCUUGACGGUACCUAAGCAGAAAGCCACGGCUAACUACGU
RNAcentral lists this ribosomal RNA (496 nucleotides) under uncultured bacterium. Its description in RNAcentral is "partial 16S ribosomal RNA". It matches the Rfam family "Bacterial small subunit ribosomal RNA", at positions 28 to 506 of the family's 1533-position model. The record is from RNAcentral.